GGCCUCGCCAUGGCGCCCGGCCACGGGCCGCGGUAACGGCCGCGCGCUGAGAGGGGCGGCGGCGCAGGCCGGGCCGGGGGCGGUGCAGCCCGCCGCAGCGGGGAGGGGGGAGCCGGCGCCGCUCCGUCUAAGUGCCGUCCCGGUGGUCGCCGCCGCCGCCGGGGAGCCCGUUUCUCCGCUCCGCCUCGAAGGACGCGGACCAUGAGCUUCCUCCGGUGGCUGCCGAGACUUGCGGGGGGAGGCGGCGGCGCGGCGCGGCGGGGCGCGGGCACCCCGCGGCGGGCUUGGGGCGGCGGCCGCGCCGCCUCCAGUGGGGCGGCGGCGGGGGGCUACGAGGAGGCGUUCCGGUGCUCCGUGGCCGAGCCCGAGAAGCUCUGGGGGGCGGCGGCCCAGCGGAUCGCCUGGCACAAGCCCUGGGCCAAGGCGCUGGAGAGGCGCGGCGCGGGCAGUGCCUCCUGGUUUGUAGAUGGAGAGCUAAAUAUUUGUUACAAUGCUGUAGAUCGCCAUGUUGAGAAUGGACGAGGAGAACACAUUGCCAUUAUUUAUGACAGUCCUGUAACAAAUACCAAAGAGAAAAUAACUUAUAAGAAGCUUCUUGAACAGGUCUCCAAGUUAGCUGAUGUCAUGGUCAAACAUGGUGUGAAGAAAGGAGAUCGUGUGGUCAUCUACAUGCCCAUGAUUCCACAGACAGUGUACUGUAUGCUGGCUUGUGCAAGAAUAGGAGCCAUCCAUAGCCUUAUUUUUGGUGGAUUUGCAUCUAAAGAGCUUUCUGUUCGCAUUGAUCAUGCAAAGCCUAAACUUAUUGUAACAGCAAGUUUUGGAGUAGAACCAAAAAGGAAAGUGGAAUACAUAUCCCUUCUAGAAGGAGCACUGGCAAGGGUACAGAACAAACCUGAGAAAGUUCUCAUUUAUAGGAGACCUAACCUGGGCCACAUUCCUCUUGCCCCGCAUCGUGAUCUUGACUGGGAGGAGGAGCUUGCGAAAGCACAGCGUUAUGAGUGUGUGUCUGUUCCUUCAGACCAUCCACUUUAUAUUCUGUAUACAUCUGGAACAACAGGCUUGCCCAAGGGUGUUGUCAGACCAACAGGUGGCUAUGCAGUUAUGCUGAACUGGACAAUGUCAGCUAUAUAUGGACUCAAACCUGGUGAGGUGUGGUGGGCAGCUUCUGAUUUAGGCUGGGUCGUUGGUCAUUCCUACAUUUGCUACGGGCCUCUCCUUCAUGGGAACACUACAGUUUUGUAUGAGGGGAAGCCUGUGGGAACGCCAGAUGCUGGUGCCUAUUUCCGUGUGCUAGCAGAGCAUGAAGUAGCUGCCGCCUUUACUUCACCAACCGCAAUUAGAGCAAUCCGUCAGCAGGACCCUGAGGCAGCUUUGGGAAAGCAGUACUCUCUGACAAGGUUCAGGACAUUAUUUGUAGCUGGUGAGCACUGUGAUGUGGACACACUAGAAUGGUCAAAAAAAGUCUUCAAGGUACCCGUCUUAGACCACUGGUGGCAAACUGUUAAAAUGACCUCUCUGUGGAGGGAGCAUGUGCAAGGAAUCUCUCCAGAGCUUCAUUCUUGCUGGGCAGAUCGAUGUGUUAUCAGAGUCGGGUUCUGCAAUUACUGCUUCCUGUAUUGGUUUGGGAAAUUCUGCAACGCCCCCACCAGGACAGGCAGGGAAACCAGUGCCAGGAUACAAUGGUUGCCUCUGCCUCCUGGAGCAUUUUCAGGUCUUUGGGAAAAUCCAGAAACAUUCCAGAAGUUAUAUUUCCAAAAAUUUCCAGGAUACUAUGAUACUAUGGAUGCAGGUUAUAUGGAUGAAGAUGGCUAUUUAUAUGUCCUGUCUCGAGCUGAUGAUGUGAUCAAUGUUGCAGGACACAGAAUUUCAGCAGGUGCAAUUGAAGAGUCUGUUCUCUUCCAUCAUGCCGUGGCAGACUGUGCCGUUGUAGGCAAGGAGGAUGCCUUAAAAGGGCAUGUCCCAUUUGCACUAUGUGUACUGAGAGAAGGUGUAAAGACAGAAAAGAAGAAGAUUUUGGAAGAGAUUGUUGAGCAAGUUCGAAAAAACAUUGGUCCAGUAGCAGCUUUCCAGAAAGGAGUGUUUGUGAAGCAGUUACCAAAAACACGUUCUGGCAAGAUACCGCGUUCAGCUCUUUCUGCACUUGUCAGUGGAAAGCCGUAUAACGUAAGCUGUAGAUGUGUGCCCUAAUGAAUUAGAUGCACGUGCAAAGACUCAACAUCAUCUUUUUGAUUCUCUAGACCAUUCUGCAAUUGCUCUAUGACUUCAGAUAACACCAACCAUUGAAGAUGCUAGUGUGUUUAAACACAUUGAAGAAGUGCUGAAGAAAAAUCAAAUGUGAUAAUAGGUUAAUAACAAACUGGAAUAUACAAAGAGACUCUCUGUUAAGAAACACCACAUUUUAAAAAUGAGUAGUGAUUUGGGACAAAAUUUUUUACUACAGAAAUGGUACUGUGUUGUUUAACGUUGUCAUAACCAAUGAAACAUGCUGAAGCAUCUGCAUGUUGUCAUUUUAUGCUGGAUAUUAAGAUUGCUAAGAAUUGCAGAUAGAAUUCAUGCAUUUCUAAAGCCUUAAAUUAGAAAGAAUCAUUAGAUUAUCUAAUAUGGUCUCUUGUGACCUUCCAUUUUAAUCCAUUAUUAUAUAAUGAGAACAAUAACUUGAAUUUGGCUAAAACAGCUUAAAAAAGGUAAGUCAUGGUAUGAGGACAGCAAUAAAUAGAAAUUCUAAUGUGAAAAUUAUUGCACAUAUAAAUUGUCUUCACUUACAAAAUAUGAGCUUUAUCUUUUUUAAAAAAAGUAAAGUUAUUUUUCUGGUUUCCACUGAUUUUUGCCAAGUCUGUCAGUUAUAAAUUAGAUUCCUUUAGUUGUUUUAUUCAGUGAUUUUCCAAAGUGCCUUUUUUGUAGGAUGUUAGAUGAAGUCUUCUGGCUUUAAAAAUCUGUGAAAACUUUGAUUUAUCCAUAGUAAUAUUGAAUAAAAACAUGAAUUUGAAAAAUUUGAAAUAAAAAUACAUUUACUCUA
Molecule: RNA transcript, 3016 nt
Organism: Dromaius novaehollandiae (emu)
Lineage: Eukaryota; Metazoa; Chordata; Aves; Casuariiformes; Dromaiidae
Gene: ACSS3
Gene name: acyl-CoA synthetase short chain family member 3
Exons: 16
Source: RefSeq, a predicted model, not a curated record